This 494-nucleotide ribosomal RNA is filed under the name uncultured bacterium. RNAcentral describes it as "partial 16S ribosomal RNA". It matches the Rfam family "Bacterial small subunit ribosomal RNA", at positions 28 to 507 of the family's 1533-position model. The record is from RNAcentral.
GACGAACGCUGGCGGCGUGCUUAACACAUGCAAGUCGAACGGAAAGGCCUGCUUUCCCUUGUGGAUUGCGGGUACUCGAGUGGCGAACGGGUGAGUAACACGUGAGUGAUCUGCCCCCAACUUGGGUAUAAGCCUGGGAAACUGGGUCUAAUUCCCGAUAGGACUGCAGGGUGGUGCCUGUGGUGGAAAACGAUUUUCUAGUGGUUGGGGAUGAGCUCGCGGCCUAUCAGCUUGUUGGUGGGGUAAUGGCCUACCAAGGCGGCGACGGGUAGCCGGCCUGAGAGGGUGGACGGCCACAUUGGGACUGAGAUACGGCCCAGACUCCUACGGGAGGCAGCAGUGGGGAAUAUUGCACAAUGGGCGGAAGCCUGAUGCAGCGACGCCGCGUGGGGGAUGACGGCCUUCGGGUUGUAAACUCCAUUCGACCGCGAGGAAGCCACCUGGUUGGAAGGGUGGUGACGGUAGUGGUAGAAGAAGCACCGGCUAACUACGUG